RNAcentral lists this unclassified non-coding RNA (370 nucleotides) under Hevea brasiliensis (rubber tree). The record is from RNAcentral. Lineage: Eukaryota; Viridiplantae; Streptophyta; Magnoliopsida; Malpighiales; Euphorbiaceae.
UCUCAGAACAUAGGAGUCACAUCAUCAACACAAUUAAAAUCCAAGCCAUGCUCAAUCAAUCUGUUAUAUUUCAUACAAACAAAAAAAAAUUUAACAACAAAUGAUAGUGAUGCUAUCCAUUUCACUGGCUAUUACAGUGACAUAACAUUAAAUUGGGUUGAUGAUCCUUCUUGCAACCCCUUAAAUAUUGUCAUCCAACAACUUUUUCAAACUUCAACUAUGUGAGAGGCUUUGUUUUCUUUAAACUGGUAAACAGUCCUCUCAGGCCAAUACCAAUUACAAAAGGUUAUAGAGAUUCCUCAUAUAUUUGGUAACUGUACAAAUUUUCUGGUUGUCAACAGCCAUAGUGAACCACGAUAUAAAAAAAAAG